This 519-nucleotide ribosomal RNA is filed under the name uncultured eukaryote. RNAcentral describes it as "SSU rRNA". It matches the Rfam family "Eukaryotic small subunit ribosomal RNA", at positions 1161 to 1702 of the family's 1831-position model. The record is from RNAcentral.
AGGGCACCACCAGGAGUGGAGCCUGCGGCUUAAUUUGACUCAACACGGGAAAACUUACCCGGCCCGGACACUGGGAGGAUUGACAGACUGAGAGCUCUUUCUUAAUUCAGUGGGUGGUGGUGCAUGGCCGUUCUUAGUUGGUGGAGCGAUUUGUCUGGUUAAUUCCGAUAACGAACGAGACUCUGGCCUAUUAAAUAGACGGUAUAUCUUCAUAAGUAUAUCGCGCUUCUUAGAGGGACAAGCGGCGUCUAGCCGCAUGAAAUAGAGCAAUAACAGGUCUGUGAUGCCCUUAGAUGUCCGGGGCUGCACGCGCGCUACACUGAAAGAAUCAGCGUGCGAUUCGCCUGGUCCGGAAGGAUCGGGUAACCCGAUGAAAUUCUUUCGUGCUUGGGAUAGGGAAUUGCAAUUAUUUCCCUUAAACGAGGAAUUCCCAGUAAAUGCGGGUCAUAAGCUCGCGUUGAUUACGUCCCUGCCCUUUGUACACACCGCCCGUCGCUACUACCGAUUGGAUGACUUAGU